This 492-nucleotide ribosomal RNA is filed under the name uncultured bacterium. RNAcentral describes it as "partial 16S ribosomal RNA". It matches the Rfam family "Bacterial small subunit ribosomal RNA", at positions 29 to 507 of the family's 1533-position model. The record is from RNAcentral.
AGUGAACGCUGGCGGUAGGCCUAACACAUGCAAGUCGAACGGCAGCACAGUAAGAGCUUGCUCUUACGGGUGGCGAGUGGCGGACAGGUGAGGAAUACAUCGGAAUCUACUUUUUCGUGGGGGAUAACGUAGGGAAACUUACGCUAAUACCGCAUACGACCUACGGGUGAAAGCAGGGGAUCUUCGGACCUUGCGCGAUUGAAUGAGCCGAUGUCGGAUUAGCUAGUUGGCGGGGUAAAGGCCCACCAAGGCGACGAUCCGUAGCUGGUCUGAGAGGAUGAUCAGCCACACUGGAACUGAGACACGGUCCAGACUCCUGCGGGAGGCAGCAGUGGGGAAUAUUGGACAAUGGGCGCAAGCCUGAUCCAGCCAUACCGCGUGGGUGAAGAAGGCCUUCGGGUUGUAAAGCCCUUUUGUUGGGAAAGAAAAGCAGCAGGUUAAUACCCCGCUGUUCUGACGGUACCCAAAGAAUAAGCACCGGCUAACUUCGUG